Long non-coding RNA from Canis lupus familiaris (dog), 497 nucleotides. RefSeq lists it as uncharacterized. The transcript has 6 exons. The record is from RefSeq and is a predicted model, not a curated record. NCBI's taxonomy places the organism in Eukaryota, Metazoa, Chordata, Mammalia, Carnivora, Canidae.
GGAGAGCCUCCAGCAUACAACUGCACCUUGGAGUGCAGCAGACGUGGGCUGUGUGUGAGAAAGAAGUAGAAGAGAUCUGGGGUAUAUUUAGGAGUUGUGAGGAGACCACCAUGGUUUGAAUGAUUCAACAGGGGAGAAGUAGGAAUUUGGACUUCAGAAUAAGCCUACAUUAGAAGAAAAAGGUAUCAAGUAUCUGAAUAACCACACUCUGAGACUCAUUUUACUUACUGAAAACUUAAAGAGCGGUUUAUGUCAGUUGAAAGUUGACAAUAUGCAGAGAACUCUGAAGAGAAGUAAGAAGUACCCAGUAUGAUGCUCUGAUGCAUGGAUAACUGGCUUCAUGAAUAAGAUGAAGACGCUGACGGCACCUACCUCAUUGGAUUUUUUUGAGGGGAGAAUUAUUUCAUUAGUUUGUAUUUACUUUUCAACUCCCAUCUCAAAACAAAAGGGGCCAGAUAGACACAGGAGGGGAUCCAGGUUGAAUCCACAGUCAGGAU